This 71-nucleotide small nucleolar RNA is filed under the name Pelusios castaneus (West African mud turtle). The record is from RNAcentral. Lineage: Eukaryota; Metazoa; Chordata; Testudines; Pelomedusidae.
CUUCUGGUGAUGAGAUCCAUGUCCAGUUCUGCUACUGAAUUAGAGCGAUGACAGUUGGGAAUCUGAAGAGG